CGGGUAGUAGAUGGCCAUCAGCUUUAACCAGUUAGCCAUUGGCCACUGGUAUAACUGCCGUGGCUGAGCUAGCAAGUGUGGAUUGCAGUUAGCAAGUGAGGCGGUUAGCAGAGAAGCAGUUGGUGGAUUACGGACAGUGUGGCUCCUGCUUCCUGUGUCUCCAACCCAGCCACCAGCGAGACUAUAGUGGAUUCCUUAGCUCCUUUUCUGGACUUAGAAGCCUAAAGGGAAGAAGGUAUCAUGAUAUGAACUUGGGACCCAGCAGUCAAACAAGCCUGGAUUCAAAUCCUGACUGUCGAGUUCUUCCAGUGUCAUCUUGAGCAAAUGAGUCAAAUUCUAUGAGCCCUAUCCACAAACUUUUGCCUUUAAAGGUAGGUCCUUGGGGCCAGUGGUGCUGGUGUGUCCCCAGAUGGCUGAAGUGAGGCUGCAGGAGGGGGAGAUAAGCUCUGUGUUCCAGAGGACGGAGCCCUGGACCCGUGCCCACCCUGCUACUUACUGUGUGACUUUCGGCAAGUUUAUUCCUCUAUCUGAACCCUCUGUAAAAGGAAGGCCCAG
This is a long non-coding RNA of Rhinolophus ferrumequinum (greater horseshoe bat), 555 nucleotides long. RefSeq lists it as uncharacterized. The transcript has 3 exons. The record is from RefSeq and is a predicted model, not a curated record. NCBI's taxonomy places the organism in Eukaryota, Metazoa, Chordata, Mammalia, Chiroptera, Rhinolophidae.